Molecule: unclassified non-coding RNA, 334 nt
Filed under: soil metagenome
Description: partial contains 5.8S ribosomal RNA, internal transcribed spacer 2, and large subunit ribosomal RNA
Rfam family: 5.8S ribosomal RNA (bases 1-120)
Source: RNAcentral
GAUGAAGAACGUAGCGAAAUGCGAUAAGUAAUGUGAAUUGCAGAAUUCAGUGAAUCGUCGAAUCUUUGAACGCACAUUGCGCCCGCCAGUAUUCUGGCGAGCAUGCCUGUUCGAGCGUCAUUUCAACCAUCAAGCCCCAGGCUUGUGUUGGAGCCCUGCGGCUGCCGCAGCCUCCCAAAACCAGUGGCGGGCUCGCUAUCACACCGAGUGCAGUAGUUUACUCUUCGCUCAGGGCGUGUGGCGGGUGCUAGCCGUGAAACCCCCAACUUCUCAAGGUUGACCUCGGAUCAGGUAGGAAUACCCGCUGAACUUAAGCAUAUCAAUAAGCGGAGGA